GGACAUGUGAUGAGUACCUGUCUGUGACAUCUGUCACCCUCUUGAUUGCCAGGGUCAAUUAGGAUGAUCUGGCUACCUAGGCAGGUGGCCCCUUCCUCCCUCACUACUCCAUGUGUGUCCCUCCCAAAACUGUGCACUCAGAGAAUGACCUUCCCCAAUAGAACAGGACUGUUCUUUGGUCAAGGCUAUAUGAGUAGCUCAUUUCCCCCACUUGAACCUCCAAACAAAAACUGUGGGUUUUGUGUAACACCUCACAAGACGGCUUUGAGGAUUUAAUGAAAUAUAGAAUGUGAAAACUGUACUUUGUAACCAUACAAACAUAAUGUUUGUUACUCUUA
Molecule: small nuclear RNA, 338 nt
Filed under: Neogale vison (American mink)
Lineage: Eukaryota; Metazoa; Chordata; Mammalia; Carnivora; Mustelidae
Description: Neovison vison (American mink) 7SK RNA (ENSNVIG00000011464.1)
Rfam family: 7SK RNA
About the family: 7SK was discovered as an abundant small nuclear RNA in the mid-70s but a possible function has only recently been suggested. Two independent studies have found that 7SK RNA binds the CDK9/cyclin T complex (known as elongation factor P-TEFb). P-TEFb activates transcription by phosphorylating the C-terminal domain of RNA polymerase II.
Source: RNAcentral